This 386-nucleotide ribosomal RNA is filed under the name uncultured bacterium. RNAcentral describes it as "bacterial SSU rRNA". It matches the Rfam family "Bacterial small subunit ribosomal RNA", at positions 29 to 416 of the family's 1533-position model. The record is from RNAcentral.
AUUGAACGCUGGCGGCAUGCCUUACACAUGCAAGUCGAACGGCAGCACGGGAGCAAUCCUGGUGGCGAGUGGCGAACGGGUGAGUAAUAUAUCGGAACGUGCCCAGUAGUGGGGGAUAACUGCUCGAAAGAGCAGCUAAUACCGCAUACGACCUGAGGGUGAAAGGGGGGGAUCGCAAGACCUCUCGCUAUUGGAGCGGCCGAUAUCAGAUUAGCUAGUUGGUGGGGUAAAGGCCUACCAAGGCAACGAUCUGUAGUUGGUCUGAGAGGACGACCAGCCACACUGGGACUGAGACACGGCCCAGACUCCUACGGGAGGCAGCAGUGGGGAAUUUUGGACAAUGGGCGCAAGCCUGAUCCAGCAAUGCCGCGUGCAGGAAGAAGGCC